RNAcentral lists this long non-coding RNA (2936 nucleotides) under Homo sapiens (human). RNAcentral's name for it is "HSALNT0304121". Lineage: Eukaryota; Metazoa; Chordata; Mammalia; Primates; Hominidae. The record is from RNAcentral.
GUAGUGAAUAAUUUUGCGGUUGUUUCUAAAGAGGUCAAGGGUUUCUAUCAGCAGACACACAGAAGGAACCAUUUUUAGGAUGGUAAUUUCUAUUUCCCUCAAAAACAUUCUUCCUUGGUCCCCACUUAUACUCAGUUUCAUUUUUCAAGGCGGAUUGCAAGGUUCGUGUAAAGCUCACAGCUGCAAUGAAGUCACUGACAAAUCUGUGAAUUACCCUGAGUGCAAAGACAAGCUAGUUCAUUUAUAAACAGCCCUUAGAAUAAUAGUAAACUAAACUGCAGGUGGGAAACCUUCAUAAGAUAAAAACUCAGACACACUGUCCCUUCUUGGAAAGCCCUGGAUAAGAAGUAAACAAUGCCAACAAGUCCCUUAGUGACUUGUCACUCCACUUAAAAUGGCCUUUAUUAAGAGUGAUGACCUCCGCCUUAACUGUAAGACCAACCAACUCAAAUGUAAGUCAAGAACAAGAACAUAUUUCCUUGCAGGGGAUUCUGUGCAAACUCAUAGAUGAUUUGCACCUCUGUGAAAGGUCAUGGCUAGGAGGCCAGGUUGAGGAAACUUGAACAGCUAAAGUACACCCAGGCUGUCUGCUAACUACCUGCAUCCUAAUUACCUGUCUGCUAUCGCUGUGUGACGUGCAGAGCCAUGAGAUAGGAUCUGUCUUCAUUUACAGAUCAUAAAAAAACAAAGCUUUAGACAGGUUAAGUAGCUUGCCCAAUGAAAGCAAUUUCUUCUGACCCUUGUGCACAAUUAUGUCCACAGGAGAACACCAUAUACAUAUAUUGCCCAACCUUUGAACACCAUUUACUCAAGAAUGGCUUUCCUUUCCCUGCCAUGCACAGGCAGGCUUGUGGUUAGCCAGUCCUUUCUGGUCAGUGUGGAUAUAUCUGCUGGGUUCAGGGGUGUAGGGUUAGGGAUCUCACUGUUUCCGCACACCAAAACUGUUCUCCAACAGCUCAGUCAAUAAAAACAGCUGAUAUCGGGGCAGGGGUGGAGUUCUUGGUUCAGGACUCUUCUAAUGUCCUGGACUGCAGAAAAGCCCUUGCCCUUACCCUGGAUAAAUACCUGAGAAUGCUUGUCUCCUUCCCACUCUGUAGGCACUCUUGUCCUCUCCAUUCCCUUCCUUGCCUCCUGAGGAGCUUCUGUGGCCCUGGGCUGAUGUGGGGAAGGGAGAAGGGUCCCCUGCACCCCUGGGAUGGGAACAUGAAUGAGUCUGCCCACCAACCCCUAAGAAAUAUGCAUACCUGUGCUCAAAUUAUGGGGCCAUCAGUUCUGCUAGUCUCAGAGCCCCCUAGGGAGGGCGACCCAGCUUUUACUGGACACCCAGGGACUUUCCCUGGAACCUGCUGUUGUGAGCGUUUCUGAGGUGUAGACAAACAGCUCCCCCACACACCUAGCCAACAACCCACUCUCAAGGUGGGAAACACCAUUCUAAGGACUCGCAUUAACCCAUCUGGAUAACCCUGGGUAAUCUGGAGCAGAGGUCGAAACCACUGAAUGGCUCAGGUACGGUAGAAAAUGCCUCUGAUUGAUUGUUUUGGACAUCGCUGCUAUUGCAACAGAGAAAGAUCAAGCCCCAUCACCUAGAAGGGAUUUCAUUCUUUGCAACAGGAAAGAUAGUUCAGAAUCCAGCGCCAAUUAUUCCCAGAAAAAAAAUACCAUUUGAAACAUUACAAAUGAAAUUGAGUUAUAUAAACCCCCUUCCUCAUCCCUUCCAAGGAGGGUGGAUUCUGCGGAUAUCAAGGGUGACUGUGGCAGACUGGAAGGGUGGGAAAGAGAUCAAAUUAGAGAAAACCAAGGGAAGAGCAACUGCCAGCCACCUAGGAAAAAGGAGAGAGGCCUAGGUGACAGGACCCCGAGUUGGAGAGAAAGACACACAGAGGGGUGAGUCAGAGGAAAGCUACAGAAGGGUGUGCUGGGGACAGGCGUCAAGAGGUGAGGCUGCCUCAGGGAGAGGAAGCACGGGAGGAGACCUGGCCCAGGAGAGUUUCAGAGGCUCCUCCCAGCAGCGUGCAGUAGUACCUCCUCCCCCAAGAAAUCAGGAUUGUGCAGGAAACACUCUCCUACUUCUCAGUGGCCACUGGAGAGCUCUGAACCCAGCCCAGGGUCAACUGCCCGGCACUGUCAGGCAGUUCCUCUGACUCCACAGCACAUUCUAAUUGCAGUCACUGAAAAGGAAAUCAGGACACAGACAUGAGCACGUACAGAGAAAAGACUGUGCCAGGAGCAGGCUGCCAUCUGCAAGCCAAGGAGAGAGCUCUCAGAAAAAAACGAUCUUGCCGACACCUUCCUUUUGCACUUCCAGCCUCCAGGACUCCUGCAAGUGCUCAGAGGACACCCAACCCUAUGAUCUCAGCCAACUCAUGAAGUUUGAUUUCACAACUUAGUGAUGUCUUCCCAGUGGAAUCCUAAAUGAUAAGGAAAAUGGUAUAGAGCCAAGACUUGAACAUUAACAACCCAGGAGCACAGAAACAGCACAGUUAGCUGAGAGGCGUUAUGGAGAGAAGCAACCGAAUGCACACUGAGCGCUGUGAGAAGUCCACGACAGUGGGGAACAGCGCCCACCGUCACAAAAAGAAAGACCCUCGGCAGGUACUUUAGAGUCACGUUCAUGCUGUAAUAUGUGGGGAAGAAAGACUAUUCCAAAUGGAUCUGGCUUUUUAAAACAAGGGAAUUUUCCUUGCUCUUGGGAACCAGCAAAAUCCAGCUGCUCAUUGAACUGCCUGUCUGGAAUCUCACAAAUUUGCACCUUGAAGUUGUUAAUAAAGGACUAAGUUGAUAAUUCGAACAAACCCUGUGGUUUGGAAGUCACUGUUUUUCUGCUUAGCGUUCGACUUUCAAGCUCUUCUUUUGGAAUAGCUCUUCAGGGCAUUCUAUGGAUGUGUAAUAAACCGACAAAUUCCUUGUGAGAAGUUUUAGAAACUGUCAGGUGAAAU